Amblyraja radiata (thorny skate) is the source of this 71-nucleotide long non-coding RNA. RefSeq lists it as uncharacterized. The record is from RefSeq and is a predicted model, not a curated record. NCBI's taxonomy places the organism in Eukaryota, Metazoa, Chordata, Chondrichthyes, Rajiformes, Rajidae. The transcript has 3 exons.
UUGGCUGAACAUCUUUCUGAUCAUUUAUAUCAUAGAGCAAAAACAUUCAUGUUAUUGAAUAAAAGCAUUCA